UUUCCGUAGGUGAACCUGCGGAAGGAUCAUUCAUAAUAAGUGUUUUAUGGCACUUUUUUAAGUCCAUAUCCACCUUGUGUGCAAUGUCAGGGUUGAUUUUUCUCUCGAGAGGAUCAACCCCAAACAUCAACUAUAUCUCAACUCUUUGUCUGAAAAAUAGUAUGAAUAAAACAAUUCAAAAUACAACUUUCAACAACGGAUCUCUUGGCUCUC
RNAcentral lists this unclassified non-coding RNA (213 nucleotides) under plant metagenome. Its description in RNAcentral is "partial contains small subunit ribosomal RNA, internal transcribed spacer 1, and 5.8S ribosomal RNA". The record is from RNAcentral.